AGUGAACGCUGGCGGUAGGCCUAACACAUGCAAGUCGAACGGCAGCACAGAGGAGCUUGCUCCUUGGGUGGCGAGUGGCGGACGGGUGAGGAAUACAUCGGAAUCUACUCUGUCGUGGGGGAUAACGUAGGGAAACUUACGCUAAUACCGCAUACGACCUACGGGUGAAAGCAGGGGAUCUUCGGACCUUGCGCGAUUGAACGAGCCGAUGUCGGAUUAGCUAGUUGGCGGGGUAAAGGCCCACCAAGGCGACGAUCCGUAGCUGGUCUGAGGGGAUGAUCAGCCACACUGGAACUGAGACACGGUCCAGACUCAUACGGGAGUCAGCAGUGGGGAAUGUUGGACAAUGGGCGCAAGCCUGAUCCAGCCAUACCGCGUGGGUGAAGAAGGCCUUCGGGUUGUAAAGCCCUUUUGUUGGGAAAGAAAUCCAUCUGGUUAAUACCCGGGUGGGAUGACGGUACCCAAAGAAUAAGCACCGGCUAACUUCGUGCCAGCCGCCGCGGUAA
This 506-nucleotide ribosomal RNA is filed under the name uncultured bacterium. Its description in RNAcentral is "partial 16S ribosomal RNA". It matches the Rfam family "Bacterial small subunit ribosomal RNA", at positions 29 to 523 of the family's 1533-position model. The record is from RNAcentral.